Molecule: non-coding RNA, 429 nt
Organism: Pelobates cultripes (western spadefoot toad)
Lineage: Eukaryota; Metazoa; Chordata; Amphibia; Anura; Pelobatidae
Source: the annotation of a GenBank genome assembly
CAUGGCUCUGGUGUGCCAUACCACACUUUCAUUCCAUGAAGAGUUGAGUCUUAGUGUAGAAAUGAUAGGUUACUGUUGUGUCCCAAAGUCCUACAGACUUUUACAUUUUUGUGUCGCACAAAUAAACAUUAAAAAAAAGACCCAAAAUUAUCUAUUUCCUCCCAUUAUAGCAGUACUUAUGAAGCUUACAGACCCUACAAUUAUAAAAAAAAAAUUCAUUACCAGUUUGGUUAAUUAGAAGGACAUUUUAAUAUAGAAUCUUUAAAUAUCAGAUUGCAACAAUGAUAUGGAUUGUAUUAGAUCUUUGAAGUGUUAAAGUAGUAAAUAGCAACAUUCAAAAACCAGUGGAUUCAAUGAUAAGAAGAGUAAGCAAUAUCUCAUAUAUUAUGCAGUAAUUCCAAAACCACACCACCAGAGGUUACCACUAGU